CAAUGAUUUAAUUACAUAUAUCUCAUAAAUUGAUGAUAUGGACCUGCAUAUUAGUUGAGACUUUAACAACUCCAUCGGCACCGAGGUUAUUAGCAACAGAUAGUCGAUAGUCAUCGACAUCUACAACGACAACUCUAGGUGCCCCGAAAGCAUGAGCUGCCAGAAGUGUAACAAGACCUAUUGGCCCUGCUCCCAUGACCAACACAUUGGUUUCUGGACCGAUAUUAGCUCAGCGACAAGCGUGGACCGCUACACUCAGGGGCUCACACAUAGCUCCUUCUUCCAAGCUUAGAUUGUCUGGCAGCUUGAAACACAGGUGUGCAGGAUGCGCUACCUACAUUGAAAAUAAUAAUCUUGUACACUAUUAGUCAUAUGGAUAAACAGAGUAGAACCAAGGCUGAAAUUGCAGCUUUAUAGGUUCACCUGACGGGCAAGGGAACCAUGAACCGGUGGAAGGGCGAAAAACUUCAUAUCAGGGCAUAUAUUGUAUCGACCUUCCUUGCAAAGAUCACAUCGCCAGCAACUGAUCCCUGGUUCCAAUGCCACUCGGUCACCAGGCACCAAAUUCUUGACUUCACUUCCAAUCUCCUCUAUGAUCCCAGCACACUCAUGCUCUAUCACCAUUGGUUCUUUCACCACAAAAUCUGCAAGCCUCAGUGUCUCCACACACGCACGGGGUUAAACAAGGUCAUAUAUAUUUAUAUACAAUACGGUUACAAGGAUACAUGUAGAAAAUACCUUGAGAAAGUGAACAUCACUUCCACAGAUGCCAACAGCUUUCAUUCUAACUCUUACAUCAUGGGGUCCUUAAUUUUAUUCACCCACAACAAAAACAGAAGUGAUCAAUCAAUAUAUAAGAAACAAAAAAAACUAAUGUUUAUCUGAAACCAUAAUGAUAAUUCAUAAACUCCAUAACUGGAACAAGCUAGAAAAACUCGAAAAGAAAAACGAAGGGUUAUACCAAGAGGAGGGAGCUUGAAAGGUUGAAUUUUGAGGGUGUUAAGACCCACAAGCCAAGCAGCCAUGUUUUCUUCACCUUCUUGAUGAGAUUUCCUCCUUUACCCAUUCUUUUGCUUUUCCUUGUGAUGGACACUCACAAACUGAUGUCUGUUUAGCAAAUAAUAGAUUUUUAUGCUUGGAUUAUAUGGAGCAACCAAGGAUAAUAUCUAAUCUUGCAAUAUGGACCAGGAAUUAUUAAUCACUUGAUUUUUUUCUACAGGUAAUUUGUCUCCACCUGAUCCCUUCUUUUGUAGCUUUUGAAAAUGGAUAAACAUAAAAUUAGUGAUAAGCUGAGUAUGACGUGUGGCAAAAUUGGUGACAUCCGCUUCACAUGCACACCAUUUUUUUUUAUAGGAGAUAUCUAAAGUAAAAUACCAUUUAGGAAUUAAAUUAUAUUUUAUCCUUUUAAAAAUUAUUAAUUUAAUCUCUUUAAUUAAAAUCAUAAUAUUUUCAAAAAUAUAAUUUAUUUAUUUUUUAAAUAAAAAAAUUAAUCCAACACCUAAUAUAUCAUGAUAUGGACCAUUCUACAAGGGUACAGUUGUUUUAGUUAAAAUAUUUGAAUAUUCCUGAUCAAUAUUGUAGUUUUAAUAGUAUGACUUGCUAAUGGAUUAUCUUUUUUUCCGACAUGAUUAUCAUUAUUCUUCUUUCAGGUCUGGAGUUUGGAAACUUUGCAACGCCUACAGACUCUAACAGAGCAUACUAAUGUUGUUAUGUCCUUGCUUUGCUGGGAUCAGUUUCUUUUAUCUUGUUCAUUGGACCAAACAAUAAAAGUUGGUGCUUCUUUUUUAUUUUGUUAUUUUUUCCCUUCCAUUAAAGCUAGAUUGUUUGGAUUUACUUGUUUAUUCUUUGCAGGUAUGGGUGGCUACUGAGAAUGGAAACCUGGGAGUAAGAUACACUCACAACGAAGAAUAUGUAUGUUGUAUUAAUAUAUCAUGCAUGCCGUAUUUUGAUUUAAUGCCAACUAGUUCUAAGAACAAAAGGGUUUCGAGAGAGAGAUCUUCAUGCUCUGCAUUUGAGUUUUCGAAGAUACCCUCAUGGGGCAAGGUUUUUGGCAGAACGGCAUGUAAAAGAGGAUACCGGUUCCUUGAGCAUUUUGAUUCUAUUUCCUAGAGUCUUGUUAAAUGUUCAACACUUGAACCGUUUUUGGCUGCUGUUUCCAGGGCAUGCUUAAUCUUCGUGGGAUGCACGACUUAGAAUCCAAGCCGGUCUUCUUGUGUGCAUGCAACGACAAUUAUGUCCGGCUUUAUGAGCUGCCGUCGUACGUUCUUAAUGCACAUAUUGUUUUGCAUCUCUUUUGUCAAUUCAUACUGCUUAUGAAAAUACCCUUUUUUCCUUUAUGAUUGAAGGUUCUCCGAGGGGUAAAAUUUUUGCUAAGCAGGAGAUUCGAGCCAUCGAAGUAGGGCCUAGUGGCCUCUUUUUCACCGGCGACGGAUCUGGUUUUAAAGUGUGGAAAUGGGCAGAGCCAGUUGCUUCAACUUGAUUGCCUUGCACCAUUUCAUAAGACAUUCAUUCUCCUGUAAUUUUUUGGUGGUAAUUAUUUUAUAUUUUUUCAUCCUUUCAGGUAAGUCUUUCACAGUGAAAACAAUUUUGGGUUCCACCUUUUAUAGCAUAAUAGAUCAUUUAAGAGUAAUUGUAUGAACUAGUUACCCUAAUUUCACCAAAUGCUUCAAUAAGAAUACGCAUCAAAGUUCAAAACCAUCAACUUUAUUACAUAUACAGUCAGAGUUUAUAACAAGAGUCCAGCAUAUAGAUAGUUUCCACUAUGUUUUUAUCUUGUUGAAAGUCACAGGUUGAACAUGACCUUAAUGGCAUUGCCACCGCGAGCACUAGUUUCAAAAGCUUCUUCAACCUCUUUCUGGGAAAACCCGAACCUGUGAGUUAUCAAUGGCUUCACAUCAAUCUUACCACUUCUUAGAAGCUCAAUGCACAAAGGCCAAGUGUUCUUAUACCGGAAUAUCCCAAUAAUAUCAACCUCCCUGCAAUCAAUCCUGGUUAAUUUUCAGGCAACAGUCAAGUAAAUGAAUCAUUGAAAUAAGUACCUAGCAGCAGCUGGUGUAAGUGGGACGGUCAUCUCGUUAUGGCCUAAUCCAACAAGGCAAACCCUGCCACCGGCUCGAGUGGCACUCAAAGCAGUCGACAUUGUUUUGUUAAAGCCUGCACAGUCAAAGGUUACAUGCACUCCUACUGCUCCCAUCACUUCACAUAUUCUUUCAACUUCUUCGGGUAUGUCCUGAAACCAUUUUAAAAGUCAGACAAUGAUUUAAUUAUAUAUAUCUCAUAAAACUUGAUGAUAUGGACCUGCAUAUUUGUUGAGACUUUAACAACUCCAUCGGCACCGAGGUUAUUAGCAACAGAUAGUCGAUAGUCGUCCACGUCUACAACGACAAUUCUAGGUGCCCCGAAAGCACGAGCUGCCAGAAGUGUAACGAGACCUAUUGGUCCUGCUCCCAUGACCAACACAUUGGUUUCUGGACCGAUAUUAGCUCGGCGACAAGCGUGAACCGCUACACUUAAGGGCUCACACAUAGCUCCUUCUUCCAAGCUUAGAUUGUCUGGCAGCUUGAAACACAG
RNAcentral lists this long non-coding RNA (3570 nucleotides) under Gossypium barbadense (sea-island cotton). RNAcentral describes it as "long non-coding RNA (GBAR_LNC012034)". Lineage: Eukaryota; Viridiplantae; Streptophyta; Magnoliopsida; Malvales; Malvaceae. The record is from RNAcentral.